Molecule: non-coding RNA, 46 nt
Organism: Schistosoma margrebowiei
Lineage: Eukaryota; Metazoa; Platyhelminthes; Trematoda; Strigeidida; Schistosomatidae
Source: Rfam
GCAUUGCUGAAGAGUCCCAUACUAGAACAAAACAGCCGUCCAAUGC